CGGCAAGACGAUGUAUAUGGACUGACGCCUGCCCGGUGCUGGAACGUUAAGGGACGGGUUAGCGCGCAAGCGCGAAGCUCUGAACUUAAGCGCCAGUAAACGGCGGUGGUAACUAUAACCAUCCUAAGGUAGCGAAAUUCCUUGUCGGGUAAGUUCCGACCUGCACGAAUGGCGUAACGACUUCAGCGCUGUCUCAACCGUGGACUCGGCGAAAUUGCACUACGAGUAAAGAUGCUCGUUACGCGCGGCAGGACGGAAAGACCCCGGGACCUUUACUACAAUUUGGUAUUGGUGGUCGAUUCGAUUUGUGUAGGAUAGGUGGGAGACUGUGAAGCAGUAACGCCAGUUAUUGUGGAGUCAUUGUUGAAAUACCACUCUGAUCGUAUUGGCUGUCUAACCUCGGUCCGUGAUCCGGAUCAGGGACAGUGCCUGAUGGGUAGUUUAACUGGGGCGGUUGCCUCCUAAAGAGUAACGGAGGCGCUCAAAGGUUCCCUCAGCCUGGUUGGCAAUCAGGUGUCGAGUGCAAGUACACAAGGGAG
Molecule: ribosomal RNA, 539 nt
Filed under: uncultured bacterium
Lineage: Bacteria
Description: bacterial LSU rRNA
Rfam family: Bacterial large subunit ribosomal RNA
Source: RNAcentral